AACGCAUAUUGCGCCCUUUGGUAUUCCGAAGGGCAUGCCUGUUCGAGCGUCAUUAUCAACCAUCAAGCCUAGCUUGUCGUUGGACCCUCUUUACGGUUGAAAUAUACUGUAGGUCCGAAAGAUAAUGACGGUGUCUUGUUUGACCCUAAAUGCAACGAGCUUUUUAUAGCACGCAUUGAAGUGGUCGAACCGGCCCCGGUCUUAACCAUUAUUUUCUUAAGGUUGACCUCGGAUCAGGUAGGAAUACCCGCUGAACUUAA
RNAcentral lists this unclassified non-coding RNA (260 nucleotides) under uncultured fungus. RNAcentral describes it as "sequence contains ITS2". The stretch from base 1 to 52 matches the Rfam family "5.8S ribosomal RNA", at positions 103 to 154 of the family's 154-position model. Lineage: Eukaryota; Fungi. The record is from RNAcentral.